AAUAAAACGCGAUUUUUUCCGAAUUUUUCCCAAAAGUUCGAAAACGGACGUUUUAUUCGGAAUAUCAAAAAUUCGCGAAUAAUUCGCGAAUAAUUCGCGAAUUAACUAACUAUGAUCCAAACAGAAUGAUGUAAUGAAUCAUUCCAAUUCUGUUUCCAUUUUCAGCUUAUUCACAUUUUGAUUUCCAUAUCGGUUUCGACUUCGAACCAAAUACAUCCUAUAAAGUAAUUAGUUGUCUUUAAAAACUUAAUUAAUAAAAAAAAUAGUACUGUUAAUCUCCAUAUAUUUUUAUCCCAAGUUUUUUUAUCUUAUAAUAUAUAUUAUGUACACUAUUGAAAAUAGUGUAUAGUUGAGGGGUCUACAUGCAUAGUUUAUCCCUUCCCCUCUUAAUAAAUUAAUUAAUAACUAGAAGCCAGUGAAGGGGCUCAGAUGGUCCUGGGGCUUCGGAACUUGCGUCCACCCCCCCUUCCCUCCUCCACUCCCUGCCAGAUUUCUUCCCCCGUCCUCGUGCCUCUCCUCAGCCCUCCCACUGGCUGCCUGCCUCUCACUCUUCUUGCCCUCUCCACUGUCUAAAAGCCUAGGAUUAAUUAAUAAAAUUAUUUCUUUUGAGUUUAUCUGUUCUAUCAUGAUUAAUAAAAAAAUAUUUUUAUUAUAAUAUUCUCUUAAAAAGAAAGAUAUGAUUGGCGUGUUACUGAUAAUAUAGUACAUUGUGAUACUGUAGAUUUCCUCCAACCUCUCCUCUCUAAAAUCAACUGUACAGCAGUCAGCAGCUACAGCUACAACAUGUCAUUUAUAUUCAAUUAAUUAUACUUUUUUUAAAAAAAUAAAUUAUUUUAAAAUAAAUUAUGUUAUAAUGAACGAACUCCGAAGGAGUAGUUUGAUUGACUGGAAACGCCACAUCAGACUUAUAGAGGAGGAAGUCUACUAUGCGACAGUCAAACUACAUCAUCCAUAUUUUAACCAAUCAAAUUUUCUCUUAAAAAAAGUAAAGUAAAAAUACUUUUCAACCUUAGAAAACAAUUAUGAUUGGUUAGAGAUGCCACGUCGUCUACUCCACUUUUAUAUCUUUGGCUUUCUUUCGUUGGAGACCCUCCGGUCCAUCAUUAAUAUGCGCACUGAUACAAAACAGUCUUUUUUAUUGCAGUUAUUUUAUAUUUAUUCUAAAUUAGUUAUAUUUUGCUAAGUGAGGUAAAAAAGAAUUUAAUAAAGAACAAUAUUGCAAUUUUGUAUUAAAAGAAUAUUUUUGAAUUUUUUAAUAUUUUUAUAUAAUGUAAGGAUAUUUGGUUGGAAGCUGUAAAUUUUAUAUGAAAUAACUGUGAUAGAGAAAAUUUUCU
RNAcentral lists this long non-coding RNA (1334 nucleotides) under Ananas comosus (pineapple). RNAcentral describes it as "long non-coding RNA (ACOM_LNC020526)". Lineage: Eukaryota; Viridiplantae; Streptophyta; Magnoliopsida; Poales; Bromeliaceae. The record is from RNAcentral.